AGCAGCCGCGGUAAUUCCAGCUCCAAUAGCGUAUAUUAAAGUUGUCGCAGUUAAAAAAGCUCGUAGUUGAAUUUCGGGAUCAAUACGUCGGUCGUGCUUCGGUACGUACUGGCGUAAUUGAUUUCUCCCUUCUGACGAACCAUGAUGUCAUUAACUUGGUGUCAUGGGAAAUCAGGACUGUUACUUUGAAAAAAAUUAGAGUGUUUAAAGCAGGCUCACGCUUGAAUACAUUAGCAUGGAAUAAUGAAAUAGGACGUUCGAUCCUAUUUUGUUGGUUUCUAGGAUUGACGUAAUGAUUAAUAGGGAUAGUUGGGGGCAUUAGUAUUCAAUUGUCAGAGGUGAAAUUCUUGGAUUUAUUGAAGACUAACUACUGCGAAAGCAUUUGCCAAGGAUGUUUUCAUUAAUCAAGAACGAAAGUUAGG
RNAcentral lists this ribosomal RNA (422 nucleotides) under uncultured Glomus. RNAcentral describes it as "SSU rRNA". It matches the Rfam family "Eukaryotic small subunit ribosomal RNA", at positions 569 to 994 of the family's 1831-position model. Lineage: Eukaryota; Fungi; Glomeromycota; Glomeromycetes; Glomerales; Glomeraceae. The record is from RNAcentral.